AGUCUUCAGGGCAGGGUGAAAUUCCCGAUCGGCGGUAAAGUCCGCGAGCGCGAAAGCGUAGGAUUUGGUGAAAUUCCAAAACCGACAGUAUAGUCUGGAUGGAAGAAGACG
Molecule: non-coding RNA, 111 nt
Filed under: Candidatus Excrementavichristensenella intestinipullorum
Lineage: Bacteria; Bacillati; Bacillota; Clostridia
Description: FMN riboswitch (RFN element)
Rfam family: FMN riboswitch aptamer (RFN element)
About the family: The RFN element is a highly conserved domain that is found frequently in the 5'-untranslated regions of prokaryotic mRNAs that encode for flavin mononucleotide (FMN) biosynthesis and transport proteins.
Source: RNAcentral